AGAGUUUGAUCCUGGCUCAGGACGAACGCUGGCGGCGUGCUUAACACAUGCAAGUCGAACGGGCAUAUCUUCUUCGGAGGGUGUGUUAGUGGCGAACGGGUGAGUAACACGUGGGUAAUCUGCCUUGCACUCUGGGAUAAGCUUGGGAAACUGGGUCUAAUACCGGAUAAGACUCUUCGCCGCAUGGUGGGGGGUGGAAAGCUUUUGCGGUGUGAGAUGGGCCCGCGGCCUAUCAGCUUGACGGUGGGGUGAUGGCCUACCGUGGCGACGACGGGUAGCCGGCCUGAGAGGGCGACCGGCCACACUGGGACUGAGACACGGCCCAGACUCCUACGGGAGGCAGCAGUGGGGAAUAUUGCACAAUGGGCGGAAGCCUGAUGCAGCGACGCCGCGUGAGGGAUGACGGCCUUCAGGUUGUAAACCUCUUUCGCACGGGACGAAGCGAGAGUGACGGUACCGUGAGAAGAAGCACCGGCUAACUACGUGCCAGCAGCCGCGGUAAUACGUAGGGUGCGAGCGUUGUCCGGAAUUAUUGGGCGUAAAGAGCUCGUAGGCGGUUUGUUGCGUCUAUCGUGAAAACCUGCGGCUUAACUGUGGGCUUGCGGUGGAUACGGGCAGACUUGAGUUCGGUAGGGGAGACUGGAAUUCCUGGUGUAGCGGUGAAAUGCGCGAUAUCAGGAGGAACACCGGUGGCGAAGGCGGGUCUCUGGGCCGAUACUGACGCUGAGGAACGAAAGCUAGGGGAGCAAACAGGAUUAGAUACCCUAGUAGUCC
This 774-nucleotide ribosomal RNA is filed under the name uncultured bacterium. RNAcentral's name for it is "bacterial SSU rRNA". It matches the Rfam family "Bacterial small subunit ribosomal RNA", at positions 8 to 796 of the family's 1533-position model. The record is from RNAcentral.